GCUGGGUUGUGGCUCAGUGGUAGAGUGCUUGGCUAGCAUGUUGUGAGGCACUGAGUUUGACUCUCAGCAUCAGCA
Molecule: transfer RNA, 75 nt
Filed under: Marmota monax (woodchuck)
Lineage: Eukaryota; Metazoa; Chordata; Mammalia; Rodentia; Sciuridae
Description: tRNA.Ala
Source: RNAcentral